GCUCUCCGCCUUGCACUGGGCGGCGCAGGGAGCGCUGCAGUCGCGCCAAGCGCAGGGGGGCUGAGCGCACCUCUCCGUGCAUCGUCCCUUUCCCGGGUGGCGGGGGCAGCUCCCCGCCCUGGGGGACAGGCCCGGACGGAGGCUCUGCAUGUCCGAAGCCCUGGCUGCCGCAGUCCGGAGCAGUGCACCAGAUACUAACCCUUUGCCUCCCAGUUUCUUAUCCCCACCCUCCCGGGGCGGUGAUUGGCGUGAGCAGCUGGGGCUUGCCCAGGACGGGGCCGCGGGGACGGAGGAAGCAGCCAGCCUGGCCUGGGAGCAGAGCCGGGGAAGGGUGAGGAGGAUCCGCGUGUGCCUGGCUGCCCGCGGGAGCCGGCAUGGGGCAUUGCUGAGCGCCUCGGGGGAGCCAUGCUGUCCAGGAAAGGGAUCAUCCCCGAGGAGUAUGUGCUGACCCGCCUCGCCGAGGAUGUCCAGGAGCACUCCCGCUACCGCGCCCGGGAGCGGCGGGCCAGGUUCGUGGGGAAGAACGGCACCUGCAACGUGGCCCACAAGAACAUCCGCGAGCAGGGCCGCUUCCUGCAGGACGUCUUCACCACCCUGGUGGACCUCAAGUGGCCGCACACGCUGAUCAUCUUCACCAUGACCUUCCUGUGCAGCUGGCUGCUCUUUGGCAUGACCUGGUGGCUGAUUGCCUUCGCCCACGGGGACCUGGACCACAGCACCCAGCUGCAGGCAGGAGGUAGCCAUGGGGUUGGGGAGGAGGCUGAGGGGUUCAUGCCCUGCGUGACCAGCAUCCACUCCUUCACCUCCGCCUUCCUCUUCUCCAUCGAGGUGCAGGUGACCAUCGGCUUCGGGGGCCGCAUGGUGACCGAGGAGUGCCCGGCUGCCAUCCUGGUGCUGAUCGUGCAGAACAUCGUGGGGCUAGUGAUCAACGCCAUCAUGCUGGGCUGCAUCUUCAUGAAGACAGCUCAGGCGAACCGCCGUGCCGAGACCCUCAUCUUCAGCAAGCAUGCAGUGAUCGCCCUGCGGGACGGCAGGCUCUGCUUCAUGCUGCGGGUGGGUGACCUGCGCAAGAGCAUGAUCAUCAGUGCCACCAUCCGCAUGCAGGUGGUGAAGAAGACCACCAGCCUGGAGGGCGAGGUGGUGCCCCUCAACCAGAUAGACAUCCAGAUGGAGAACCCGGUGGGGGGCAGCAACAUCUUCCUGGUUUCCCCGCUCCUCAUCUACCAUGUGAUAGACAAGAACAGCCCACUCUACGACAUCUCCCCCCUACACCUCCACCACCACGAGGACCUAGAAGUCAUUGUCAUCUUGGAAGGGGUGGUGGAGACCACUGGCAUCACCACCCAAGCCAGGACCUCCUAUCUGGCCGAUGAAAUCCUCUGGGGCCAAAGGUUUGUGCCCAUCGUGGCAGAGGAAGAUGGCAGGUACUCAGUGGACUACUCUAAGUUUGGCAACACGGUGAAAGUGCCCACCCCUUCUUGCACUGCCAGACAGCUGGAGGAAGACAGGAGCAUCAUAGACUCCAUCCCAUUGUCACCUAAAAGCACCAGUAGGAAGAGGUCUUUCAGGUUGAAGCCCAAAUUUACCAUAACUGAUGAGCCUUCCUGACACCGUUUUAGAGGAAAGAGGCAAUAAACAAGAACACUGAGAUAGCCUCUUAUUUUUCUUAGCCAGGUUGGUAGCACAAGGAUUUGGCCUACAUGAGAAGCAAUUUAAGCAACGCUACCAUGCAAGUGCCCAUGAUUCUUCUUCCCUCAAGGGAAUCUGUAUUAUUCAAGGUACACGGAGUCUCUUUGUUUUCUGUGAGAUGAGGAGGGCGAAGCUGGGAGGAGGAGCUUGCUGUUAGUGAACUGUUUUCAGGACCAUCUUUUGUGUAUCUUUGCAAGAAACCUCCUAGUUUUCUUCAGUGUUGGAGUAACAGAUGCCAAAGAAAGGAAUCUCAAAGAUGAGAAUGAAAAAGAAAGAAAUCACAAAAUAAUGGUUUCUGUGGCUUUAACCAAGAUUUUCAUGAAGUUAACCAAGACUUUCAUAAAUCUGUUUUCAGUCUUUUAUUUUUCUCAGUUUACAUUCUCCUGUUCUUUAGAGGUUUUAAACACACAAAAAAGAAAUUUCAGAGUCAAAAGUCAUGAGGAAAGAGGUUAAAUGUUUA
Gopherus flavomarginatus (Mexican gopher tortoise) is the source of this 2149-nucleotide RNA transcript. It is a transcript of the gene named potassium inwardly rectifying channel subfamily J member 11, with no coding region annotated. The transcript has 2 exons. The record is from RefSeq and is a predicted model, not a curated record. Lineage: Eukaryota; Metazoa; Chordata; Testudines; Testudinidae.